RNAcentral lists this ribosomal RNA (656 nucleotides) under uncultured delta proteobacterium. RNAcentral describes it as "bacterial SSU rRNA". It matches the Rfam family "Bacterial small subunit ribosomal RNA", at positions 28 to 657 of the family's 1533-position model. Lineage: Bacteria; Deltaproteobacteria. The record is from RNAcentral.
AAUGAACGCUGGCGGCGUGCCUAACACAUGCAAGUCGAACGAGAAAUUUCCCGCUUGCGGGAGAAAGUAAAGUGGCGAACGGGUGAGUAACGCGUGGGUAACCUGCCCCUGAAUCUGGAAUAACUUCGCGAAAGCGAGGCUAAUACCGGAUAUUGUCCCAGGGACCGUGGUCUUUGUGAUGAAAGGUGACCUCUUCAAGAAAGUUGUCGUUCAGGGAGGGGCCCGCGUACCAUUAGCUAGUUGGUAGGGUAAUGGCCUACCAAGGCGAUGAUGGUUAGCUGGUCUGAGAGGAUGACCAGCCACACUGGCACUGAAACACGGGCCAGACUCCUACGGGAGGCAGCAGUGAGGAAUCUUGCGCAAUAGGGGAAACCCUGACGCAGCAACGCCGCGUGAGUGAAGAAGGCCUUCGGGUCGUAAAGCUCUGUCAAGUGGGAAAAAAGCUUACUGGUAAAUAGCCAGGAAGCCUGAUGGUACCAUUAAAGGAAGCACCGGCUAACUCCGUGCCAGCAGCCGCGGUAAUACGGAGGGUGCAAGCGUUGUUCGGAAUUACUGGGCGUAAAGGGCGUGUAGGCGGUGUGGUAAGUCAGAUGUGAAAGCCCUGGGCUUAACCCAGGAAGUGCAUUUGAAACUGCCACGCUUGAGUAUGGGAGAGG